This 427-nucleotide ribosomal RNA is filed under the name uncultured bacterium. RNAcentral's name for it is "partial 16S ribosomal RNA". It matches the Rfam family "Bacterial small subunit ribosomal RNA", at positions 355 to 774 of the family's 1533-position model. The record is from RNAcentral.
UGGGGAAUAUUGGACAAUGGGCGAAAGCCUGAUCCAGCCAUGCCGCGUGUGUGAAGAAGGUCUUCGGAUUGUAAAGCACUUUAAGUUGGGAGGAAGGGCAUUAACCUAAUACGUUAGUGUUUUGACGUUACCGACAGAAUAAGCACCGGCUAACUCUGUGCCAGCAGCCGCGGUAAUACAGAGGGUGCAAGCGUUAAUCGGAAUUACUGGGCGUAAAGCGCGCGUAGGUGGGUUGUUAAGUUGGAGGUGAAAUCCCCGGGCUCAACCUGGGAACUGUAUUCAAAACUGACUGACUAGAGUAUGGUAGAGGGUGGUGGAAUUUCCUGUGUAGCGGUGAAAUGCGUAGAUAUAGGAAGGAACACCAGUGGCGAAGGCGACCACCUGGACUAAUACUGACACUGAGGUGCGAAAGCGUGGGGAGCAAACA